RNAcentral lists this transfer RNA (69 nucleotides) under Bos taurus (domestic cattle). It matches the Rfam family "tRNA". From Rfam's summary of the family: Transfer RNA (tRNA) molecules are approximately 80 nucleotides in length. The record is from Rfam by way of RNAcentral. Lineage: Eukaryota; Metazoa; Chordata; Mammalia; Artiodactyla; Bovidae. RNAcentral also lists the same sequence under 4 other names.
CCUGAUGGCUCAGUCAAUAAAGAAUCUGCCUGCAAUGCAGAAGAUCCAGGUUCAAUUCCUGGGUCAGGA